ACAAUGACAUUUAAUUUAACACUUAAUUUGGCAUAACAAUUGGAUUUAAAUUUCCCUCCAGGAACUUUCUGUGCCACAUUGGUGAUGUUUGGCUUACGAGUGUCAUUCAGAGUUGAACAAUAUGUUAAGGACAUUUCUGCCCGAACGAUGAUCUCAGUUAGAACAGAGUGGAAGGAAUGUGUCGCGACAUAGUAACACCGAUGUAAAUAUUUAAUAAACUUUUUGACUUUGAGUGUUUUGGACAAAUUUGAGCCUUGCCAAAGUUUUGUGAGCGAAAUUUGUUUACAAUUUAACCUUGGCGUCAAUCUGGUGUUGUGAGGAAGAGGAAAUGGGAAACCCAAGAUGUAAAUCCAUCCGGCAUCUUGGCAACAGAGAUGACAAGCCCAGAGAAUACAAUACAUUUGGUCAACAUGUGCUCAAGGAUUAUAUGCUCGUGCAAAUAAUUUAAAUAUUCAAUUAAAAAUUGUGUAAAUUUGUUUU
Molecule: long non-coding RNA, 480 nt
Organism: Stomoxys calcitrans (stable fly)
Lineage: Eukaryota; Metazoa; Arthropoda; Insecta; Diptera; Muscidae
Exons: 2
Source: RefSeq, a predicted model, not a curated record